RNAcentral lists this ribosomal RNA (450 nucleotides) under uncultured bacterium. RNAcentral describes it as "partial 16S ribosomal RNA". It matches the Rfam family "Bacterial small subunit ribosomal RNA", at positions 338 to 795 of the family's 1533-position model. The record is from RNAcentral.
CCUACGGGGGGCUGCAGUGAGGAAUAUUGGUCAAUGGGCGCAAGCCUGAACCAGCCAUCCCGCGUGCAGGAAGAAGGCGCUAUGCGUCGUAAACUGCUUUUCCAGGGGAAGAAAACCUGAUACGUGUAUUGGCUUGCCGGUACCCUGGGAAUAAGCAUCGGCUAACUCCGUGCCAGCAGCCGCGGUAAUACGGAGGAUGCGGGCGUUAUCCGGAUUUAUUGGGUUGAAGGGGGGUGAAGAAGUCUGUAUAGAAAACCUUCAGCUUAACUGGAGACUUGCCAUUGAUACUGUUAGUCUUGAGUACGGUCAAGGUAGGCGGAAUGUGUAAUGUAGCGGUGAAAUGCUUAGAUAUUACACAGAACACCGAUUGCGAAGGCAGCUUACUGGGCCAUUACUGACGCUGAUGCACGAAAGCGUGGGGAGCGAACAGGAUUAGAUACCCCAGUAGUC